Molecule: transfer RNA, 66 nt
Filed under: Cercopagis pengoi
Lineage: Eukaryota; Metazoa; Arthropoda; Branchiopoda; Diplostraca; Cercopagididae
Description: tRNA-Met
Source: RNAcentral
GGAAAGAUAAGCUAAAUAUUAAGCUAAUGGGUUCAUACCCCAUCGAUAGGACUAUCCUUCUCUCCA